This 467-nucleotide ribosomal RNA is filed under the name uncultured bacterium. Its description in RNAcentral is "partial 16S ribosomal RNA". It matches the Rfam family "Bacterial small subunit ribosomal RNA", at positions 28 to 507 of the family's 1533-position model. The record is from RNAcentral.
GACGAACGCUGGCGGCGUGCUUAACACAUGCAAGUCGAACGGAAAGGCCUCAGCUUGCUGGGGUACUCGAGUGGCGAACGGGUGAGUAACACGUGGGUGAUCUGCCUUGCACUCUGGGAUAAGCUUUGGAAACUGGGUCUAAUACCGGAUAUGAACUGCCUUUAGUGUGGUGGCUGGAAAGUUUUUUCGGUGCAAGGUGAGCUCGCGGCCUAUCAGCUUGUUGGUGGGGUAUUGGCCUACCAAGGCGUCGCCGGGUAGCCGGCCUGUGAGGGUGUACGGCCACAGUGGGACUGAGAUACGGCCCAGACUCCUACUGGAGGCAGCUGUGGGGAACAUUGCACAAUGGGCGGAAGCCUGAUGCAGCGACGCCGCGGGGGGGAUGACGGCCUUCGGGUUGUAAACUCCUUUCGACAGGGACGAAGCUUUUUGUGACGGUACCUGUAUAAGAAGCACCGGCUAACUACGUG